Nomia melanderi (Alkali bee) is the source of this 748-nucleotide non-coding RNA. Lineage: Eukaryota; Metazoa; Arthropoda; Insecta; Hymenoptera; Halictidae. The record is from RefSeq and is a predicted model, not a curated record.
CGUAGGUGUUAAACUCAGUACGUUCGUGAACGAUAAAUCUUUCGGUUCACGCGAUCAUAUAAUAUCUCUCUGCCAAGUGUCCGAAAAACUUGAAUUUAGAAAUCUGCUGUGUGUAACAACUGAUUGGUUACAUUGAGAUUUAUUUCUGAGAAAAUAAUUACGUUCCGCGGGAAUUACGCUGUUAUGAAUCAAUUUUAUAAAGACUUUCCUGCAUUGCGAUAUGUGAAACUGAUCAAGUAAUUUCCUUUACUACGCUUUUUAUGAAAUUCAAAUGAAAUCGAUGAUCAGAAGUUCUUUAAAACAUUCCUAAUACACAGUGGGAGUUAUUGUUUUAAUAGACAGGCUCAGUAUAUACGAAAAAAAAAUAUUUUGUACAACUAUAUAUAUAAUAAAACAAUAAUUAUUAGACUUGAUCAAUAGUAAACUACCGAAUAUUAGUAAAGAGGCGACAUAUCUUAUCACGCAGCAUGUGCAUAUGCAUUACUUACUGAACGCCUGAAGACAGCGGAAGAAUAAAGUACCCUGAACACCAAAGAAACAUUCUACACAACUUACAAAAUCGAUAAAUGACCACGUGUACUGCGUAACAAUUCAUUACUGACUGGAUGUGAAUGAGAAGAUCGACCAGUUGCAUAAUUCCUGCAUCAAGAGAAAAUAUAUACAAACACUUAAAGUGAUUUAGUUCGGGCGAACUGUUCUAAGAAACUAGAAAUAAUGCCACAAUGUUAUCAACUUCAUAAGUCACUAU